This 253-nucleotide ribosomal RNA is filed under the name uncultured bacterium. RNAcentral's name for it is "partial 16S ribosomal RNA". It matches the Rfam family "Bacterial small subunit ribosomal RNA", at positions 524 to 776 of the family's 1533-position model. The record is from RNAcentral.
UACGUAGGGUGCAAGCGUUAAUCGGAAUUACUGGGCGUAAAGCGUGCGCAGGCGGUUUUGUAAGUCUGUCGUGAAAGCCCCGGGCUCAACCUGGGAAUUGCGAUGGAGACUGCAAGGCUUGAAUCUGGCAGAGGGGGGUAGAAUUCCACGUGUAGCAGUGAAAUGCGUAGAAAUGUGGAGGAACACCGAUGGCGAAGGCAGCCCCCUGGGUCAAGAUUGACGCUCAUGCACGAAAGCGUGGGGAGCAAACAGG